CAGAGACAAACUACCCUGACCAAGAUCUUUCCUUCUUCUUCCACAACAACAUGUCUGAUUGUCUCUGCAACAGAAGCACUCGUGAACAGCCCGUCUCGCUCAUUCCUUGGAAUCUCCAAGCCUAUAUUCAUCCCACUGAGCAACCUAGCCACUAGCGGCUGGUCUAGGUUACAUGGAAACAUGAUCAAAGGGACACCAAAGCUAAGCCCUUCCACAGCUGAUCCCCAACCACAAUGAGUAACAAACCCACCAACUGAACCAUGGCUCAGUAUCUUGGUCUGAGGUACCCACUCGGUCCAAAUGACUCCACGCUCUUUGACUCUCUCUUUGAACCCAUCAGGUAGUAGCAUAGAAGCUCUAGUCCUCUUCCUUAGCGUCCAAAAGAAAGGUAACCUGCAAAGCUCCAACCCAUGAGCUAAACCUUGAAUCUCUUCGUUACUAAUUGUCACUUCAGUUCCUAAGGCUACAUAAACCACAGACUUUGCUUGAUGUCUGUCUAGCCAUUCUCUGAUGUCUAACCAUGUUCCCUCGUCAUCUGCAUCAUCCAUUGGUGUAGCCGGGAGUAAACCAAUUGGAAUCACAGGCUUUCCUUGGAGUUUACUGAGCAAUUGAAUCCACUCAGGUUCGAGUUCCAUACAUGAUCUAAUCACAAUAACCUCAGAGCCAACGUAAGCCAAACCCAAUCUACAGUUGUCGUUCAAUUCAACUCCAGUUACACCUGCCGUGGGAUACUCCAUGAUCCUCUUAGCUUCAAAGAGACGGUAAACUAUGUUGGUCUCAAACGGGACCCAUGGUGGAGGCACGAUAAGAUCUUCAGCAGUCUUUCGAGGGUCAUGACCUUGAAUCAUGACUGAUGCUGGCCCACCGAUGAUGAUGAUGGAAGCUGCGUUGAACGUGCAGAAGAUGGCUCGUCUCACGCCGAGCUUCUCAGCGAUAGGCGGGACCCAAUGGUGCAAGAUAUCAUACACUAUCCAGUUUGGUUUGGAAGCUUCUAAAAACUCUGUGAAAGCUUCAGAAAGCCCAUCAAAUGCUUUCUUCAGAUAAGCUAUGUGAGUCUCCGGGACAUCAGUGGUGGCCUCAGCGUUCUCUGGGAGAUGGUCGACGGUUUGACUUAACGGCAAAGAAACGAAAUUCACGGAAAGGUCGGAGGAUAUAUUGGGAAGACGUGAAAUGUUACGAGCUGUGGAGAUGAAGGACACAGUAUGGCCUUUCCUUGCUAUGAGCUUUGAGAGUUGCAAGUAAGGAAUCAUGUGACCUAAAGCUAACCAUGGGAACACUGCAACAUGAAGCUUCGGUUUUGGCUCGGCCAUGGUCUCUCUUCGUUGAUAAACAAGCAAGACUCAGACUGAUUCUCUAAAGCUCUUCUUCUUCUUCUGUUUGAACAUCUGGUAGUCACAAUGGCGGCUAAGUAGAU
Molecule: long non-coding RNA, 1414 nt
Filed under: Arabidopsis thaliana (thale cress)
Lineage: Eukaryota; Viridiplantae; Streptophyta; Magnoliopsida; Brassicales; Brassicaceae
Description: ncRNA (AT5G09395)
Source: RNAcentral